GCUUCCUUGGCUCAGUUGGCUAGAGCGCAGGUCUCAUAUCGAGUAUGAUGUUCAUAAAUGAACAGUAAUCCUGAGGUCGCAAGUUCGAGCCUUGCAGGGAGCA
Non-coding RNA from Marasmius oreades (fairy-ring Marasmius), 103 nucleotides. The record is from the annotation of a RefSeq genome assembly. NCBI's taxonomy places the organism in Eukaryota, Fungi, Basidiomycota, Agaricomycetes, Agaricales, Marasmiaceae.